CACGACGUUAUUAACGCUUUGCAAGUUAAACAGUAUUAGUUUGACAAAUAUUACAAACUCGCCUCAUCACGAUUUCCUUCUCUGUAAAGUCAACGGUCUCCGGCUCCCUCUACUGGACUUUACAUACACUUUUAUCCUCCUCUGAGGGUGGACAGUUGGGAGACGACAAGAAAUGAAUGGACAGAGUAAAUGGAGUGACAAUCCCCAGCAGGACUCACAUCAAGGAUUCUUCAGUUCAUGCCCUGUGAUGGAUUGGUGACCUGUCCAGGUGUCCCCAGCCUUCAUCCUGAGUCACCUGGGAUCGACUCCAGCCCCUCUAAUGAGGAUUAAGCGGUGUAUACAUAAUGGAUGGAUGGAUGAUUCCAGAUAAAAUAAAU
Long non-coding RNA from Amphiprion ocellaris (clown anemonefish), 377 nucleotides. RefSeq lists it as uncharacterized. Lineage: Eukaryota; Metazoa; Chordata; Actinopteri; Pomacentridae. The transcript is spliced from 3 exons. The record is from RefSeq and is a predicted model, not a curated record.